Molecule: transfer RNA, 72 nt
Filed under: Trachymyrmex septentrionalis
Lineage: Eukaryota; Metazoa; Arthropoda; Insecta; Hymenoptera; Formicidae
Rfam family: tRNA
About the family: Transfer RNA (tRNA) molecules are approximately 80 nucleotides in length. Their secondary structure includes four short double-helical elements and three loops (D, anti-codon, and T loops).
Source: Rfam by way of RNAcentral
GCCUCGGUGGUCUAAUCGUGAGGACGCUCGUACGGAAUGCAAGAGAUUCGGGUUCAAUCCCCGGCCGAGGUC